CAGCAGCCGCGGUAAUACGAAGGGUGCAAGCGUUACUCGGAAUUACUGGGCGUAAAGCGUGCGUAGGUGGUGGUUUAAGUCCGUUGUGAAAGCCCUGGGCUCAACCUGGGAAUUGCAGUGGAUACUGGGUCACUAGAGUGUGGUAGAGGAUAGUGGAAUUUCCGGUGUAGCAGUGAAAUGCGUAGAGAUCGGAAGGAACAUCUGUGGCGAAGGCGACUAUCUGGGCCAACACUGACACUGAGGCACGAAAGCGUGGGGAGCAAACAGGAUUAGAUACCCCAGUAGUCCCUGUCUCUUAUAA
Molecule: ribosomal RNA, 301 nt
Filed under: uncultured bacterium
Lineage: Bacteria
Description: partial 16S ribosomal RNA
Rfam family: Bacterial small subunit ribosomal RNA
Source: RNAcentral